RNAcentral lists this ribosomal RNA (446 nucleotides) under uncultured bacterium. RNAcentral describes it as "partial 16S ribosomal RNA". It matches the Rfam family "Bacterial small subunit ribosomal RNA", at positions 338 to 795 of the family's 1533-position model. The record is from RNAcentral.
CCUACGGGAGGCAGCAGUAGGGAAUAUUCGGCAAUGGGGGGAACCCUGACCGAGCAAAGCCGCGUGAACGAAGAAGUUAUUAGGAAUGUAAAGUUCUUUUAACAGGGAAGAAAGAGAAAUGUGACGGUACCUGAAGAAUAAGCUCCGGCUAACUACGUACCAGCAGCCGCGGUAAUGCGUAGGGAGCGAGCGUGAUCCGGAUUGAUUGGGCGUAAAGGGGGCGUAGAUGGCAUAGUAAGGCUUAUGUAAGAGUGCUGGGCUCACCCCAGGAGGGCAAAAGAUACUGCAAAGCUUGAGUAUGGUAGAGGUAUGUGGAACUACUUGUGUAGCGGUGAAAUGCGUAGAUAUAUGGAAGAACACCAGUGGCGAAGGCGGCUUACUGGGUCGAUACUGACAUUGAGGCACGAAAGCGUGGGGAGCAAACAGGAUUAGAUACCCUAGUAGUC